Molecule: long non-coding RNA, 235 nt
Filed under: Pelobates cultripes (western spadefoot toad)
Lineage: Eukaryota; Metazoa; Chordata; Amphibia; Anura; Pelobatidae
Source: RNAcentral
CCCUCACACACAGCUUCCUCACAUGCACAUAGCACCCUCAUGCAAACACAGCACCCACUCACACACAGCACACACACACUGCACCCAUCACACACACAGCAACCUUACCCACAUAGCACCCUCACGCAAACACAGCACCCAUCACUCACACACACACUGCACCCCUCUCUCACACACACUACACCCCUUACACACACACACAGAGAAACCUCACACACACUGCGCAAUAUGCUUU